AUUGCCCAACAAUAUAGCAACUGCAGGAACUGAAGACUAUUGAUUAAUUGGAUUCUUACCUUGUUAAACAGGUACCAUGUUCCCUGUUUGUUUCUUCAACCAGGCAACAAUGAUAUAGUCCUUUUCGAGCAAUUUGGUGGUGACCCAAGCAAGAUAUCCUUUGUGAUAAGGCAGACAGGAAGUGUGAUCGCACAAGUAUCAGAGGAACAUCCAGCCCAAAUUGAUAGUUGGAAUUCUUCUCAACAGACAAUGCAAAGAUAUGGACCUGAACUUCGCCUGGAAUGCCCAAAAGAUGGACAGGUCAUCAGCAGCAUCAAGUUUGCAAGCUUUGGGACACCGAGCGGCACGUGCAGAAGCUACAGCCACGGAGAAUGCAGCAGCAUUCAGGCUAUCUCAGUUGUUCAGGAGGUAACUAUAAGCUGCUCCAUUCUCAUGUCUCAAUGUACCAACUGAUUCUUAUGGGUUGUUGAUAGUGUUACUGGGAUUCUACAGGCUUGCAUUGGAGUGAGCAACUGCAGCGUGCCAGUGUCGUCGAAUUACUUUGGAAAUCCAUGGACAGGGGUCACAAAAAGCCUUGCGGUUGAAGCUGCAUGUUCGUGACAAGUCUGAUUAACAUUGGUUCAUAGGAAGCAAAAUCAGUGUGGAGAAUGUGAAACCUUCU
This 661-nucleotide long non-coding RNA is filed under the name Sorghum bicolor (sorghum). RNAcentral's name for it is "long non-coding RNA (SBIC_LNC011793)". Lineage: Eukaryota; Viridiplantae; Streptophyta; Magnoliopsida; Poales; Poaceae. The record is from RNAcentral.